AUUGAACGCUGGCGGCAGGCUUAACACAUGCAAGUCGAGCGGGGUGAUGGUGCUUGCACUAUCACUUAGCGGCGGACGGGUGAGUAAUGCUUAGGAAUCUGCCUAUUAGUGGGGGACAACAUCUCGAAAGGGAUGCUAAUACCGCAUACGUCCUACGGGAGAAAGCAGGGGAUCACUUGUGACCUUGCGCUAAUAGAUGAGCCUAGGUCGGAUUAGCUAGUUGGUGGGGUAAAGGCCUACCAAGGCGACGAUCUGUAGCGGGUCUGAGAGGAUGGUCCGCCACACUGGGGCUGAGACAGGGCACAGACUCCGACGGGAGGCAGCAGUGGGGAAUAUUGGACAAUGGGGGGAACCCUGAUCCAGCCAUGCCGCGUGUGUGAAGAAGGCCUUAUGGUUGUAAAGCACUUUAAGCGAGGAGGAGGCUCUUUUGGUUAAUACCCAAGAUGAGUGGACGUUACUCGCAGAAUAAGCACCGGCUAACUCUGUGCCAGCCGCCGCCGUAA
This 503-nucleotide ribosomal RNA is filed under the name uncultured bacterium. Its description in RNAcentral is "partial 16S ribosomal RNA". It matches the Rfam family "Bacterial small subunit ribosomal RNA", at positions 30 to 523 of the family's 1533-position model. The record is from RNAcentral.